This 508-nucleotide ribosomal RNA is filed under the name uncultured bacterium. RNAcentral's name for it is "partial 16S ribosomal RNA". It matches the Rfam family "Bacterial small subunit ribosomal RNA", at positions 28 to 523 of the family's 1533-position model. The record is from RNAcentral.
GAUGAACGCUAGCUACAGGCUUAACACAUGCAAGUCGAGGGGAAACGAUAUUGGAAGCUUGCUUCCGAUAGGCGUCGACCGGCGCACGGGUGAGUAACGCGUAUCCAACCUGCCCACCACUUGGGGAUAACCUUGCGAAAGUAAGACUAAUACCCAAUGAUAUCUCUAGAAGACAUCUGAAGGAGAUUAAAGAUUUAUCGGUGAUGGAUGGGGAUGCGUCUGAUUAGCGUGUUGGCGGGGUAACGGCCCACCAAGGCGACGAUCAGUAGGGGUGCUGAGAGGAAGGUCCCCCACAUUGGAACUGGGACACGGUCCAAACUCCUACGGGAGGCAGCAGUGAGGAAUAUUGGUCAAUGGACGAGAGUCUGAACCAGCCAAGUAGCGUGCAGGAUGACGGCCCUAUGGGUUGUAAACUGCUUUUAUAAGGGAAUAAAGUGAGCCUCGUGAGGCUUUUUGCAUGUACCUUAUGAAUAAGGACCGGCUAAUUCCGUGCCAGCAGCCGCAGUAA